GGAAUAUUGGACAAUGGGCGCAAGCCUGAUCCAGCCAUGCCGCGUGAGUGAUGAAGGCCCUAGGGUUGUAAAGCUCUUUCACCGGUGAAGAUAAUGACGGUAACCGGAGAAGAAGCCCCGGCUAACUUCGUGCCAGCAGCCGCGGUAAUACGAAGGGGGCUAGCGUUGUUCGGAAUUACUGGGCGUAAAGCGCACGUAGGCGGCUUUGUAAGUUAGAGGUGAAAGCCUGGAGCUCAACUCCAGAAUUGCCUUUAAGACUGCAUCGCUUGAAUCCAGGAGAGGUGAGUGGAAUUCCGAGUGUAGAGGUGAAAUUCGUAGAUAUUCGGAAGAACACCAGUGGCGAAGGCGGCUCACUAGACUGGUAUUGACGCUGAGGUGCGAAAGCGUGAGGAGCAAA
Molecule: ribosomal RNA, 397 nt
Filed under: uncultured bacterium
Lineage: Bacteria
Description: bacterial SSU rRNA
Rfam family: Bacterial small subunit ribosomal RNA
Source: RNAcentral